AUGAUGGUUUCCUCCUUGUUUCUCCCCCAUCCCAGCCCCUUGCUUUCUCCUCUUCCCUUUCCUGCCCAUCUUCUCUUGGCAGAGUCACCCUUAGGCUGGUCGCUGCUGGCAGCUGGCUGCCAUGGGAGCCCCUGGGGUGAGAGCUACAGACUGACCUUGUCAAGCUCCUUCCCUCGUCGGGCCUCAGUUUUCUUCUCUGUAAAAUGGGCAGAGCUCCCGCAGCACCUAUAUUGUGUGAGAGUGGGCACAAAUGACUGGGUGCCUCACAGAGCUCAUUGGUGGGAUGGGUGCCGAGGGGCUCAGCAGCCAACCUGGUGUCCUCAUGCCCAGGAAGCAGCCCUGCCCCCCGAGGUCUCCAGGCUGUCCCAUGGCUGGAUGAAGCCCGACCUCAGGGUCUCUUUCAGACGAGAGGACGAGCGAGAAGAAUCUGGGUUCUGCAGAUCCUUGCACUUUGCUUUGCUACGGAACAGCAGGUAAGCUGUGCCGAGGCUGGGCAGGGGACAAGGCCAUAGGGAGGCCAGCGUGGCUCUCUCUGCACAUUUUCACUGCCAAUGCCUGAUGUGAGUCCAAGUGCGACAGAUGCUGGGCAGAGGGGCAGUCCGCCAGGGCCGACGAGCUCUGUGCCCUUUGCUGUAAACUUCUCAGGAAUCUGUGUGCAGAACAGGCCAUGAAUAGUAAGCAUCGGAUUUGCUGGAUUUCACAAAGCGAAUGCACCUGUGUAAGUACCCGGCAGCUGAUCAAAAACCAGCACAUGUCCAGCUUCCCAGAGACCUUGGGACUCCUUUCUGUCUGGCUUCUUUCUCUCGCUUUCAAGCAGUGCAACAGGACCGCGCCCCCAACUUUACUUGGGCCAAUGCUCCUGGGCUUGUGAUGGGGUGUGUCCUGGUAUAGCCAUUGUGAAUAGAAGGUCUUGUCAUUUAAAAUGCAUUUCAUCCCCCUAACCCACUGCACAUCCUUGCUCAGCGACGCAGCAGUCCCUCCUUUCCCUCGUGGACAAGGAAGGGGGGACUGCCCAGGAGCUGUGCUCAUAGCCCAGCGUCCGGGAGAGGGGCGGGGCACAUCUGUCACUCACCAAGGAAUGCACGGAAAUUCAAAAUACAAAGUACGCAGUUUCUACUAAAUGCAUAUCGCGUUCACGCCAUUGUGAAGUCAAAAAAUAAUGCGUUGAACCAUGGGAAGUCUGGGACUGUCUGUACUUUUUUUUUUUUUUUGUCACUGUUGCCUGGCAUUCCUUUGUAUGUCUCUGCCUUUUAUACCUCAGCCUGGCAGAAGCUCUGAAGGGUGCACCUGAUCACCUGUCAGGCUCUUCCUUGUCGCCUUGCGGUUACACACUUCUGCACUGUGCUUCCUCCUGCUUCCCGGGGCCUGAGCAUGACUGUCACAGGGAG
This 1388-nucleotide long non-coding RNA is filed under the name Oryctolagus cuniculus (rabbit). RNAcentral's name for it is "lncRNA (ENSOCUG00000034054.1)". The record is from RNAcentral. Lineage: Eukaryota; Metazoa; Chordata; Mammalia; Lagomorpha; Leporidae.